AUUCCCGGUUUCAAACUAAUAAAUAAAGCCACAACAGCAACGCACUUGCCAGUCCAACAGUGGUAGCAAACGUCCAGAUUGGCCUGUUUCGAUUGAUACGUUUUGAAGAAACCUAAUUUCAAGCAGCCGGUUCGCCAUGAAGUUCUUCACCUUCUCGGGAUUCUUCGUGUGUGCGCUUCUUUUUGCGUUAGCAGCGUUAAGCAAUGCUGCGAGCGUAAGACUGGAUAAAAGAGAGAUUGGCGCCAAAUGCUCAAAGAGCAAGCCUUGCCAUGCCGGAAACGAAAAGUGUUUCUUCAAAAAAGACGGGGACAAGGAAGGAACAUGCGGGAAAUUCUUCGGACCGUAAAUGGGAUACUGAGAUUUGUCUCGCGUUUUGAUUAAUCUGCUGACUAUAGACAAAUCAAAAAGUGAUGUCUGUUUACUGAACUUUCCCAUGCCUGUUUCGGUAUGCAAUCAGUUUUUAACAACUACAACGAUACAGUUUAUUAUGCAGUCGUUUGUAUUAUUCAACUGUAUGUACUAUACAGUUUAUUAUGCACAGAGACUUUGUGUUUGGAAAGUUCUUCAGGUUUUUGCCAGGAAGUGUACACGUACUGGUUACAACUUACAAUAACUAUUGUCUAUUAUGUAGUAAUGCAAUAUAAUUAUUAUGAACUUUAAUAAAAGUGUUCU
Paramacrobiotus metropolitanus is the source of this 672-nucleotide long non-coding RNA. RefSeq lists it as uncharacterized. Lineage: Eukaryota; Metazoa; Tardigrada; Eutardigrada; Parachela; Macrobiotidae. The transcript has 3 exons. The record is from RefSeq and is a predicted model, not a curated record.